UACGUAGGGUGCAAGCGUUGUCCGGAAUUAUUGGGCGUAAAGAGCUCGUAGGCGGUUUUUUGCGUCUGCUGUGAAAACUCGGGGCUUAACCCCGGGCCUGCAGUGGGUACGGGCAGACUAGAGUGCGGUAGGGGAGACUGGAAUUCCUGGUGUAGCGGUGAAAUGCGCAGAUAUCAGGAGGAACACCGGUGGCGAAGGCGGGUCUCUGGGCCGUAACUGACGCUGAGGAGCGAAAGCGUGGGGAGCGAACAGG
This 253-nucleotide ribosomal RNA is filed under the name uncultured bacterium. RNAcentral describes it as "partial 16S ribosomal RNA". It matches the Rfam family "Bacterial small subunit ribosomal RNA", at positions 524 to 776 of the family's 1533-position model. The record is from RNAcentral.